This is a non-coding RNA of Oryctolagus cuniculus (rabbit), 504 nucleotides long. NCBI's taxonomy places the organism in Eukaryota, Metazoa, Chordata, Mammalia, Lagomorpha, Leporidae. The record is from RefSeq and is a predicted model, not a curated record.
GGCUCAGCCUGCCCAGGCCUCACACACCCUGUGUGGAGCCCCUGCCCGGCACUGGCCGUCUGCAGCAGCAGAGGAAGGAGGAGGAGCCUGGGAUGCCCCGCCCCCAACCUCCCCAGAGGGCACGCCCCAGGCCAGCAGAUCCAGAGCUGCAGAUCACAGGGCUGGUGCAAACCACGGAAUGAAUUCUGCACCUUAAAGGAAUGAAGUGCAUGGUAUCUGACCCUAUGCCUCCCAGGAAAGCCGCUACCGAAACAGUAGGUUCUCACUAACCCCCAUGGCACCUGCCACUUCAGCUGCAAAGUGACCGGGGUGCAGAGACAUCGAGUCUGGGCGAAGACCUUGAAGCAAAAUCCCAGCGCAGAGCCUGUGACUCCGAAGCCUUCUGACCCUGGUGGGAACUUCCUCCAGCCGCCUACCCUGACUCUCCUGGGCCAGGAGUCGCGUGCUCACUGUGCUGCGCCCAGGGAGACGGGGUCACUCCCACUCCCUGCCGCAGUACCUGUC